UACGUAGGGUGCAAGCGUUAAUCGGAAUUACUGGGCGUAAAGCGUGCGCAGGCGGUUUUGUAAGUCUGUCGUGAAAUCCCCGGGCUCAACCUGGGAAUUGCGAUGGAGACUGCAAGGCUAGAAUCUGGCAGAGGGGGGUAGAAUUCCACGUGUGAGCAGUGAAAUGCGUAGAUAUGCGGAGGAACGACCGAGGCGAAGGCAUCCCUGGGC
Molecule: ribosomal RNA, 210 nt
Filed under: uncultured bacterium
Lineage: Bacteria
Description: partial 16S ribosomal RNA
Rfam family: Bacterial small subunit ribosomal RNA
Source: RNAcentral